Molecule: ribosomal RNA, 482 nt
Filed under: uncultured soil bacterium
Lineage: Bacteria
Description: bacterial SSU rRNA
Rfam family: Bacterial small subunit ribosomal RNA
Source: RNAcentral
AGGACGAACGCUGGCGGUGCGCCUAACACAUGCAAGUCGAACGGUGAACCGGGCUUCGGCCCGGGGAUCAGUGGCGAACGGGUGCGUAACACGUGGGCAACCUGCCCCCGACCCUGGGAUGACCCCCGGGAAACCGGAGCUAAUACCGGAUACUCUCCUCCGACCACAUGGUCAGAAGAGGAAAGGUCCGCCGGUCGGGGAUGGGCCCGCGGCCUAUCAGCUUGUUGGUGGGUAACGCCUACCAAGGCGACGACGGGUAGCUGGUCUGAGAGGACGACCAGCCACACUGGGACUGAGACACGGCCCAGACUCCUACGGGAGGCAGCAGUGGGGAAUCUUGCGCAAUGGGCGAAAGCCUGACGCAGCGACACCGCGUGGGGGAUGAAGGCCUUUCAGGUCGUAAACCCUUUCGGCAGGGACGAAGCGAUCUCGUGACGGUACCUGCAGAAGAAGCCUCGGCUAACUACGUGCCAGCAGCCGAC